This 383-nucleotide ribosomal RNA is filed under the name uncultured eukaryote. RNAcentral describes it as "partial 18S ribosomal RNA". It matches the Rfam family "Eukaryotic small subunit ribosomal RNA", at positions 592 to 976 of the family's 1831-position model. The record is from RNAcentral.
CAAUAGCGUAUAUUAAAGUUGUUGCAGUUAAAAAGCUCGUAGUUGGAUUUCUGGUAGGAGUGACCGUUCCGAACUUGAUUGUUCGUGUAUUGUGUUUGCUCCAGCCAUCCUUGUGGAGAACUUUUCUUGCAUUAAUUUGUAGGGAUUGGGACCCGCAUCGUUUACUGUGAAAAAAUUAGAGUGUUUAAAGCAGGCAAUCGCUUGAAUACAUUAGCAUGGAAUAAUAAGAUAGGACUUUGGUACUAUUUUGUUGGUUUGCAUACCAAAUUAAUGAUCAACAGGAACAGUUUGAGGAUAUUCGUAUGAACAUGUCAGAGGUGAAAUUCUUGGAUUUUGAUCAGACGAACUACUGCGAAAGCAUUUAUCAAGGAUGUUUUCAUUAA